This 374-nucleotide ribosomal RNA is filed under the name uncultured organism. Its description in RNAcentral is "partial 16S ribosomal RNA". It matches the Rfam family "Bacterial small subunit ribosomal RNA", at positions 527 to 896 of the family's 1533-position model. The record is from RNAcentral.
GUAGGUGGCAAGCGUUGUCCGGGAAUUAUUGGGGCGUAAAGCGCGCGCAGGCGGUUCUUUAAGUCUGAUGUGAAAGCCCACGGCUCAACCGUGGAGGGUCAUUGGAAACUGGAGAACUUGAGUACAGAAGAGGAAAGCGGAAUUCCACGUGUAGCGGUGAAAUGCGUAGAGAUGUGGAGGAACACCAGUGGCGAAGGCGGCUUUCUGGUCUGUAACUGACGCUGAGGCGCGAAAGCGUUGGGAGCAAACAGGAUUAGAUACCCUGGUAGUCCACGCCGUAAACGAUGAGUGCUAAGUGUUAGGGGGUUUCCGCCCCUUAGUGCUGCAGCUAACGCAUUAAGCACUCCGCCUGGGGAGUACGGCCGCAAAGGCUG